GACAGGGGAUACAAGCGUUACUCGGAAUUACUGGGCGUAAAGCGUCUGUAGGCGUUUUGGUAUGUCUGAGGUCAAAUUUCGGGGCUCAACCCCGUCUACGUCUUGGAAACUGCCAGAAUUGAGCAAUGGAGAGGCACCUGGAAUGCCAUGUGUAGGAGUAAAAUCCGUAGAUACAUGGUAGAACGCCAAAAGUGAAGACAGGGUGCUAGCCAUUCGCUGACGCUGAGAGACGAAAGCGUGGGGAGCAAAGGGG
This 253-nucleotide unclassified non-coding RNA is filed under the name uncultured Candidatus Altimarinota bacterium. RNAcentral's name for it is "uncultured Candidatus Gracilibacteria bacterium contains 16S-23S intergenic spacer region". It matches the Rfam family "Bacterial small subunit ribosomal RNA", at positions 524 to 776 of the family's 1533-position model. The record is from RNAcentral. Lineage: Bacteria; Candidatus Altimarinota.